This 47-nucleotide non-coding RNA is filed under the name Trypanosoma lewisi. Lineage: Eukaryota; Euglenozoa; Kinetoplastea; Trypanosomatida; Trypanosomatidae. The record is from RNAcentral.
AUAUAAAACAAAAAAAGAAUACAAAGAAUCGAGAAACAUUAAUGGUA